This 200-nucleotide ribosomal RNA is filed under the name uncultured bacterium. RNAcentral describes it as "partial 16S ribosomal RNA". It matches the Rfam family "Bacterial small subunit ribosomal RNA", at positions 8 to 201 of the family's 1533-position model. The record is from RNAcentral.
AGAGUUUGAUCCUGGCUCAGAAUCAACGCUGGCGGCGUGCCUAACACAUGCAAGUCGAGCGGUAACAGGUGUAGCAAUACAUGCUGACGAGCGGCGAACGGGUGAGUAAUGUUUCGGAAUCUACCCAAUGGUGGGGAAUAACCAGCCGAAAGGUUGGCUAAUACCGCAUAAGCCUACGGGAGAAAGCGGGGGACCGUAAG